GACAGAGGUGCCAAGCGUUAGGCGGAAUUACUGGGCGUAAAGCGUGCGCAGGCGGUUUUGUAAGCCAGAUGUGAAAUCCCCGGGCUUAACCUGGGAAUGGCAUUUGGGACUGCAAGGCUGGAGUGUGGCAGAGGAGACUGGAAUUCCUGGUGUAGCAGUGAAAUGCGUAGAUAUCAGGAGGAAUACCGAUGGCGAAGGCAGGUCUCUGGGCUGACACUGACGCUCAUGCACGAAAGCGUGGGGAGCAAACAGG
This 253-nucleotide ribosomal RNA is filed under the name uncultured bacterium. RNAcentral describes it as "partial 16S ribosomal RNA". It matches the Rfam family "Bacterial small subunit ribosomal RNA", at positions 524 to 776 of the family's 1533-position model. The record is from RNAcentral.